UGCCGUGUGUUUGCUGGGUGUUUUACACCAGUGAUUUGAUGCAUGAAGAGCAAAGGCCACAGGCCAUCUGGGACUUCCGCAGUACGAGGAACAGGGAGGCACAGUGGUGCAGCGGUAGAGUUCCUGCCGCAGAGUGCUAGAGACUCGGUUUCAAUCCUGACCACGGGUGCUGUCUGUACGGAGUUUGUACAUUCUCGCCUUGACCUGCGUGGGUUUUCCCCAGGUGCUCCGGCUUCCUCCCACAUUCCAAAGACGUGCAGAUGCUGCCUGACCAACUGUCUUACUCCAGGGGAAAAAAAGGAGGCUUCGGAUUGAUUGUCCUAUCAACAACCAGAGAGUGGUCCUGAGCUAACAUCUACCUCACUGAAGACCCUUGGACUAACUUUAAUCAGACUUUACCUUGCAUUAAACGUUAUUCCCUUGAUCCUGUAUCUGUACACUGUGGGUGGCUCGAUUGUAAUCAUGUAUAGUCUUUCCACUGACUGGAUAGCACGCAACAAAAAAGCUUUUCAUUGCAUGAGUACACUUGGCAUUAAUAAGCUGAACUAAAUUAAACUUAAAAAUUUCAUGUAAAA
This is a long non-coding RNA of Amblyraja radiata (thorny skate), 575 nucleotides long. RefSeq lists it as uncharacterized. The transcript has 2 exons. NCBI's taxonomy places the organism in Eukaryota, Metazoa, Chordata, Chondrichthyes, Rajiformes, Rajidae. The record is from RefSeq and is a predicted model, not a curated record.